UACGAAGGGUGCAAGCGUUACUCGGAAUUACUGGGCGUAAAGCGUGCGUAGGUGGUUUGUUAAGUCUGUUGUGAAAUCUCAGGGCUCAACCCUGAAACUGCAUUCGAUACUGCGUGGCUAGAGUGCUGGAGGGGAGACUGGAAUUUACGGUGUAGCAGUGAAAUGCGUAGAUAUCGUAAGGAAGACCAGUGGCGAAGGCGAGUCUCUGGACAGCAACUGACGCUGAGGCACGAAGGCCAGGGGAGCAAACGGG
Molecule: ribosomal RNA, 253 nt
Filed under: uncultured bacterium
Lineage: Bacteria
Description: partial 16S ribosomal RNA
Rfam family: Bacterial small subunit ribosomal RNA
Source: RNAcentral